This is a long non-coding RNA of Myiozetetes cayanensis, 2285 nucleotides long. RefSeq lists it as uncharacterized. The transcript is spliced from 2 exons. The record is from RefSeq and is a predicted model, not a curated record. NCBI's taxonomy places the organism in Eukaryota, Metazoa, Chordata, Aves, Passeriformes, Tyrannidae.
CAGUGUGUGUUUGUGUGUUGGUGCAGCACGGGGCUGGGGGUUCAGGGUACAAAGAGGAUGCCACUGCAGGAGGAGCACCCACUUUCUCCUUCAGCCAUUAGGAGCAGAUGCUGUCUGCGCCAGCUCAUGACGUUGGCCAUGUUUUUAGUUGUAUCAUAGAAUUAAAAAUUAAUCGUGCCCUCACUCUCCUUCAGGCCCUGCCCACCAGGGUUGCCCUACCUGCCCCGUGUCUCAGUGCUUUCUUCCUCCAGGUUUUUAUUUGCUCUGCAACUGUGAACUGCUCCAACGAUAGUGUGGUGGAACAGAAGGAGCAGAUCAGUGUCCCAGGACAGUCUUCUCUAGGUGCUUCUGGUUGUGAUGGAUCCAGGACUGCUCUCACUUCACACCCCAAAUCCUCCUGCUAUUACUGCUGAAAAUAAUCCUGCCAGUCCAAAGGUUGUUGAUCGUAGGGGUGUGAGAAUUGCACCUGAGUGCUGUUAGUGCCCAGGUCAGUACCUGGAAAUGCAGAGGAUAGGGACACUCACCUGCCUCUUUCCAGCCCAGGACUGCUCAGUGUCACAGCCAGCAGUGUCCUGUGCCCUGUCCCUGCUGCCUGUGGCUGGGUAUUCUGUCAUCCCUCCCACAUGCAUGGGCUCCAGGCUUGGCACUGCAGCUUUUGAGACAUGAAGUUGAGAAGCAGGACGCUCAUUUUAGCACUGUGGCAAUCGUGUUUUCCGCCAGUGCAUCCUCUUCCUCCAUGCUGUGUCUGCAGUGGCUGAGGAUGGCCAUGACAGAGAGGGAACACACUCAUCCUGGUGACCAGAGCAGUAGGAUGACCAUGGCUCUUGGGACAGGCAGAAGAGGAGGCUGCCAGGUAGUAACUCACAGUAAGAUUCAGUUUUGGAUGCUCUGUUUCAGCCUUUGGAAGAGCCUGUCUCACUCCCUCCCCACAAAGUCCAUUCUCCCCUUGUUUUCACUUAAAAUUAGAGGGGAUGAUGACCUCAAUUUGGUUAACAUGUUCAGCUGUUCCCACCAUGCCAGCAGGUCCUGGUGCUGCUGGGAUUUGGGUCACAGUGCCCAGGGAACAUGCUUUGGACCUGCAGCCCCUCCUUACAGUGACUGGCUGCAGCUCCACAGGGCAGCACUGGCUCACGCCUGCUCUCCAGGCACCAUGAAGCAGCCAGGGAGGGUUAGUCCAGGGGGAGCAUUGCAUAGAGGGAGCCUCAUCCUCCACAUUAGUGCUUAGGGCACAUUCUUAGUUUGGUUCCUCUGGGCCAAGCUGCAGCAAGGCAUCACCCUGACGGGUUGAAGGGUGCAGGGUUACAUCUCAAUCCACUGCACAAUGCACGUUCAGGCCAUAGUGCAGCACCACUUCAUUAGUGCCUCAAGUGGCUUGAAAACACUGAGCAUUUCUGUCUCCCCUUUGUCUGGACUCAAGAAGGAGCCCAGAUUCCCUCCAGAUGCCCAGGAUGGCCACAGCAUGAACCCAAAUUUCUAGAACUGCGAAGAGAGCAGAGAGGUUCCUGGUGCAGAAGCUGCUUGGAACAGCUGUGCUGGACAGCCUGGGGAAGAAACACAAACCUUUAUGACUUUAUUUAAUAAGUUAUUUAUAUAUUAUUUGCUUGGUAACUGAAAUACCACUUUUGGUCUCUGACACCCACCAAACUGGCUGAAGUGGGGCUGGGAGCCCCACCCUCCUGCAGCCUCUCCUCCCUCAGAAACCCCAUGGAGGUUUCCACUGGGGGGAAGGGGGAGAGUGUGCAAAAAAAAAGUGUAUUUAUUUCCCUUUAAUUCCCAGACUGAUGCAAACUGACAGGCAGGGGGGCAUCCUCCUAGUGCGGGGGCCUGUUCUGCACCCCUGCUCUGGGCUGUGGCCGUGUGGGCAGUGCCUGUGGGCUCCCUGGGGCUGAGCACCGUGCAUGUGGGUGGGCAGCAGCUCCUGUGAGCUCGAGGUCACAAGGCACAGAGGAGCCUGAAUGCAUCAGUCUCCUCUGUGGCCUCUGCAGCAGGGGGGAUGUUACACCAUGGGGGAGGGAGUGGUGGCAGCAGCUGGGGAUCGUGUGCUGGGCAUGGUGUGGAGCUGAGAAGUGGCUGCUUUGCUUUCCCAGUGAGUACACAUGCUGCUUUUUUUUUGCUGGUCUUAUGCUGAAAAGCUGAGAUUUAUGUACUGUAUGAAAAAAAAAAACCCACAAAAAAACCCCACAACAGAAAAAAAGAAAAAAUCCUAAUGUUCCAAAAUAAAUCACAGUAUAUUUUGUACUUUGUAAAGUAAUUAAAAUGAAAAAAGAAUAAAAAGUGAAACGCUG